UAAGAACGGCCAUGCACCACCACCCACAGAAUCAAGAAAGAGCUAUCAAUCUGUCAAUCCUUACUAUGUCUGGACCUGGUGAGUUUCCCCGUGUUGAGUCAAAUUGAGCCGCGGGCUCCACUCCUGGUGGUGCCAUUCCGUCAAUGCCUUUAAGUUUCAGUCUUGCGACCACAUUCCCCCUGGAAGUCAAAGACUUUGAUUUUCAGAAAGUGUCGAAGGAAGCAACCGGUAGCUGCAUCCAAUUUCUUGGUAGCAUAGUGUCUGGUUAAGACUAGGACGGUAUCUAAUCGUCUUCGAUCCCCUAACUUUCGUUCUUGAUUAAAGAAGACAUCCUUGGCAAAUGCAUUCGCAUUAGUUUGUCUUUAACAAAUCCAAGAAUUUCACCUCUGACAGUUAAAUACAAAUGCCCCCAACCAUCCC
Molecule: ribosomal RNA, 420 nt
Filed under: uncultured dinoflagellate
Lineage: Eukaryota; Dinophyceae
Description: partial 18S rRNA
Source: RNAcentral